Homo sapiens (human) is the source of this 1885-nucleotide long non-coding RNA. Ensembl annotates it as CTNNA2 antisense RNA 1. Its record names the gene CTNNA2-AS1. NCBI's taxonomy places the organism in Eukaryota, Metazoa, Chordata, Mammalia, Primates, Hominidae. The record is from Ensembl.
CGUUGUGGUUUCUCACGGAGACAAUCAAAGCAGGGAAGGCUGGAUUUUAAAUUGGUGAGACACACACUGGAAAUAUGUAAUUCCCAGAAGAAAAAAAGAAACUGCUGAAGAGGGGUAUGGGGGCUGUUGGCAGCAUGUCCAAGUGACAACCCUCCCCACCCCCACCCUAAUAUAGCACAAAUCCACAGAUUCUUCUUCGAUCCUCUUCUCCCUCCAGUUCCCAGUACUCUACCCAACUUGACCCUUCAUCCUAAAAAUUUAGGAAUCUGCAGGGCACCCGCUGUUUAAGAGUGUGUCUCUCAGUAUAUGCACCCAAUUUUCUGGAACCCCUGAAUCCGGACAGUUGUAGCAGGCAAGGGAUGCUCCCACCCUCCCACCGGGGAAGAGCUAUUGUGCUCUGAGUGGGUAGAAAACAUGAUGGCAAGUGUAUGGUGCUGAAUCAAGGUAAAAGAGGAAAUGAUUAUGUACUCACAGAGGGUGGAACAUAAAGGUGAUUGGAAAGAAUCAGGAUGUCAGAUUGUGUUGGAUUAGUCUUCCAGCCUUCACUGAGGUCUACAGUAUAGAUACUGGAUUGGCUUAAAUUGAACGUUCUGCAAAUAAGAGAAGGUAUAUUCUUGUCCAAGAGGAUGUGGUAUCUACAUAUAGGAGGAAAGAUAUACGUGUACAUGUGGUGGCUGAACCAUUUGAUUGUGGAUCAGGAUACAUAAGCAGCAAGUUCAAAGACUGAAGGAACAAGGAAUAUCAGCUCAUAAAGAUGAGAAAGAAUCAGAGCAAGAACUCUGGCAACUCAAAAGCCAAGGUGUCUUCUUACCUCCAAACAACCAUAUUAUUUCGUUAGCAACGAUUCUUAACCAGACUGAGAUUGCUGAAGUAACAUAAGCAGAAUUCAAAUAUAGAUAGAAAUGAAGAUCACUGACAUACUGGAGGAAAUCAAAACCCAAUUCCAGGAUUUUUAAGAUUUUUGUUUUUUGAGAUGGAGUCUUGCUCUGUUGUUGCCCAGGCUGGAGUGCAGUGUUGCGGUCUCGGCUCACUGCAACCUCCGCCUCCCGGGUUCAAGCGAUUCUUCUGCCUCAGCCUCCCGAGUAGCUGGGACUACAGGCAUGUGCCACCACACCUGGCUAAUUUUUGUAUUUUUAGUAGAGAUGGGGUUUCACCAUAUUGGCCAGGCUGGUCUCGAACAUCUGACCUUAUGAUCCACCUGCCUCAGCCUUCCAAAGUGCUGGGAUUACAGGCACAGUCGGCCAAUAUUUUUAUAUACCAGAUUAUGUCACUAGUAAAUAGAGAUAAUUUCACUGUCUCCUUUUCAAUCUGGAGGCAUUUUCUUCCUUCCUUUUUCCCUUCCCUUCUCUCCCCUCCCCUCCCCUUCCCUCCUGUUUUUCUUUCUACUUACUUUCUUACUUUUGCCUCUUUGUCUUGGUUAGAAUUUCCAGUAUGAUGUUAAAUAACAAUGGAAAGAGCAGUUAUCCUUGUCUUGUUCCUCAUUUUAGAGGCUUAACCCUGGAGUUUUUGUCUAUGCCCCUUGUGAAGUUUAAAAAGUUUUUCCCAAUCAUAGUUUGUUGAUGGUUCUUAUAAUGACAGAGCAUUUGAUUUGAUUAAGUGGUUUUUUCUGCUUUUAUUGCAAUGAUGUUGUGAUUUUUGCUUUUUAACUAUUGAUAUGGUGGGUUACAUUGAUUGAUUUCAGAUAUUAAGCCAACUUUGCAUUUCUGGGAAUAAUCCCACUGGUUGAUGAUGGAUAAUCUUUUUUAUAUGUUACUAGACUCAUUUUUCCAGUAUUUUGGCGAGGAUUUUUGCAUCUAUGUUGGUCUAUAGUUUUCUUUUACUGUGUACCUUUGCUUCUGAUAUUGAGGCAAUAAUGGUCUCAAAGGAUUAGUUGAGAAUUGUUUUC